Molecule: ribosomal RNA, 253 nt
Filed under: uncultured bacterium
Lineage: Bacteria
Description: partial 16S ribosomal RNA
Rfam family: Bacterial small subunit ribosomal RNA
Source: RNAcentral
UACGGGGGGGGCAAGCGUUGUUCGGAAUUACUGGGCGUAAAGGGCUCGUAGGCGGCCAACUAAGUCAGACGUGAAAUCCCUAGGCUCAACCUAGGAACUGCGUCUGAUACUGGAUGGCUUGAGUUUGGGAGAGGGAUGCGGAAUUCCAGGUGUAGCGGUGAAAUGCGUAGAUAUCUGGAGGAACACCGGUGGCGAAGGCGGCAUCCUGGACCAAUACUGACACUGAGGAGCGAAAGCCAGGGGAGCAAACGGG